This 388-nucleotide ribosomal RNA is filed under the name Ochromonas tuberculata. RNAcentral describes it as "partial small subunit ribosomal RNA". It matches the Rfam family "Eukaryotic small subunit ribosomal RNA", at positions 30 to 432 of the family's 1831-position model. The record is from RNAcentral. Lineage: Eukaryota; Chrysophyceae; Chromulinales; Chromulinaceae.
GCUUGUCUCAAAGAUUAAGCCAUGCAUGUCUAAGUAUAAAUAAUUUUACUGUGAAACUGCGGAUGGCUCAUUAAAUCAGUUAUAGUUUAUUUGAUAGUCGCUUACUACAUGGAUAACCGUGGUAAUUCUAGAGCUAAUACAUGCGUAAAGACCCGACUUCUGGGAGGGUCGUAUUUAUUAGAUACAAAACCAAUGCGGGGCAACCCGGAAUAUGGUGAUUCAUAAUAACUUUCGGAUCGUUUACGAUGCAUCAUUCAAGUUUCUGCCCUAUCAGCUUUGGAUGGUAGGGUAUUGGCCUACCAUGGCUUUAACGGGUAACGGAGAAUUAGGGUUCGAUUCCGGAGAGGGAGCCUGAGAAAUGGCUACCACAUCCAAGGAAGGCAGCAGG